RNAcentral lists this RNase P RNA (359 nucleotides) under Bryobacterales bacterium. RNAcentral's name for it is "RNase P RNA component class A". It matches the Rfam family "Bacterial RNase P class A". From Rfam's summary of the family: Ribonuclease P (RNase P) is a ubiquitous endoribonuclease, found in archaea, bacteria and eukarya as well as chloroplasts and mitochondria. Lineage: Bacteria; Pseudomonadati; Acidobacteriota; Terriglobia; Bryobacterales. RNAcentral also lists the same sequence under 1 other name. The record is from RNAcentral.
CUUGCCGGAUGGGUAACCGCCCGUUUUGAACGGGAGGAAAGUCCGGUCUCCACAGGGCGGCGUGCCGGCUAACGGCCGGGGAGAUUCGCUCAAAGCGGAUUUCACGGAAAGUGCCACAGAAAAUACACCGCCUGUCUCGGCAGGUAAGGGUGAAAAGGUGCGGUAAGAGCGCACCGCGGGCGGAGUGAUCCGUCCGGCAGGGUAAACCCCACGCGGAGCAAGACCAAAUAGGAGAGGAGGAGCGGCCCGCUCCGCCAGACUCUCGGGUAGGUCGCUUGAGCCGUCCGGUAACGGCCGGCCCAGAGGAAUGGUUACCGCCCGCAAGGGUACAGAAACCGGCUUAUAGUCCGGCAAGCUUG